UUCAACCUAGAAAAAGCAUUUCUAGUCAGAGGGGAAGGAGACUGGCACUCAGGGUCACUCACUGUGUGCUUCUCACUAGCUCUGGGAGACCCUGUUUUGAAGGGCUGAGAUGCUCAAAAAGGACCCAAGGGGCUUGCAGAGACACAGGGCAGGGAGGGCAGGCACAUGCAGAGACAGCUGACUUCUGAGUGCAGGCGCUUCUGCUACAAAACGCCUUUAACUGCCCAACAUACGUAACUGUGACUCUUAGAAAGCAGCUGUCUGCCAGGAGUAUUUAGUAACACAACACGACGGCAGUGACACAGAACGGCAGUCUGCUCAUUCCCCCUCACGGGGACCAGCCUGAGCGCGCCCUCAGCACCGGGCUGUCCUCCUUGCCUGUGUGUCACCGUGUUGUUCUCUCACUGUCGUCUUGUGGCGAGCAGAGCCGGGCUGUUUCUCAUAUUGUCCAUCUGCUUCCCACUCAGCACUAACAGCACACUGCGCUGACCACAUAAAAUAUUAACUCCUGCUUUCUCCCUUCCCGCUGGGAGCUAAUAAAGAUUCCUGCUACUCAGUGGUUAACUAGGCACUGCUUACGGCCAGGGCAAGCAGGCGUUCUUAGGAACAGCCUGACCACACUUUCAUAAUAAAUACCCUGGAGCGCUCCUCUGAAGGAAUUAUGAAGCUCAACUUCAUUCAAUGAUUUCCUUGGCCAAAGAGUAAAACAAGCAUCCAAUUCAGGUCUUAAAAAGGGUGUGUUUGAAUCUCUUGGUUUCUGACAACUGCAGGGGCAGUCAGCCAACACACUGGUCACGUACAAAACUAUUAGCUGCCCUUCAUUUUUCCAAGCCAGGAUGGCCCUGAAGUCACGAGGUACCAAGGCUGCCCACAGCUACGCUCCUGCCUUACACACCUGGCUAAAUUACCCGAAUUCUAAGGCCAAAUGAAACCAUUGCCAGGAGACAGAAGCACGUCCCAAGCGCCAGUAUGGUGAGCUGCAGCCUCCAAAACUUAGGUUUGAGACAGAGAGGGGAACCUGCAGAGCGCGAGGCGCUCACAGGGCGAGGCUGUGCCACGGCAGCUGCUUCACACUUGGCCAUUACAUGAGCGCUGCCUUCGGGUCCGUGUUUGUGUCAGAGCCGGGUGCUGGCGUAUCCAGCCUCUGACACUUUUGCACUUUUACUUAACUUCUUUUUAUCUUGCAGUCAUCUGCCGACAUGCCUGGCCCGCCAGGCCCCAGUCAGCAGUGUGUGGGCUUCUCUGCAGGCCAGGGAUGACAAUGUGCUUACGCUACAUAAUCCUUUUAGGAAACAAGAAGGCUUACUCAGCUCACAGGCACGAGCAGGGGCAGGAUGGUCUGUGGCAGCCAGCUCAGCCAUCACGUUUGAGCGGAAGCUCAGUCUGGCCAAGCGGCUGCUGUUUUCCCAAUGCAAAACUGGCGAGUGCGUGCGGAGCGGGGACCCAGGAGUCGAGGGAGAGGAGACAGCCGCUGAGUCACAGCAGAGGCCCUCCAGCCUCAGCGUCUCAACAGAGAGGGUCCUGCUGGCCCCAAAGUCCACAGCAAGGCCCACAGACCUGAGACUUUCCAGUCUGGUACCAAAAGUGUAAAACAAAUGGUUUUUAAAGUAUCUACCAAGGACACAACACAAAACGAAAAACAAAGUAUCUACUAGAAGAGGUUGCCUCUUCUGCACUCAAAGACCCCAAUGAUGUUAAUGUCCACCAGGCUGGGUGUGGUGGCACAGGCCAGUAAGCUCAGUACUCAGGAGGCUGAGGCAAAGAGGACUGCUGCAAGUUCAAGACCAGCCUGGGCUACAAAGCAAGGUGAAGGCCAGUCUGAACUGCACAGCGAGACCCUGUCUCAAAGACCAAAAACAAGUCAUGAAAAGCUAUAACAAAAUGAAAUGAAGACGGAAUUAGUGUUUCUAGAAAAAAGAACCUAUGAUGUUAAGAAAACAAUACACACAUAUAUACACGCAUACAACCGAAUCAUGGUACUUCCACCACCUCAAAAAACACCACCACCAACGAAAACCCCCCAAGCCCCAGCCAGCGCCUACCCUUUGAACACCUGCUGUUGUCCGCGGCCCAGCCCGGCUACCGUCGCAUCUUUAAGCAGGGUCUUCACUCCCUUAUCCACGGAGACCUGCGCGAUGCCGGCUCCCAUCAGCCCUGCGCCCAGAAUGGCCAGCUGUCUGACAGGAAAAGAGGGGUGAUUUCCGUAAAGAGCUUUUACUCGGGAGACUGCCCACGCUACCAUCCAAUGCAUCACCUGUGAGGUGCUGCAAAUCCUCUCCAGCUACACAAGCCCAGCACUAACAAUUUGGUUUUCAGUACUGGGAGUUGAACCUUGUGCAUGCGAGGCAAAUCCUCACCUUUGAGUGACAUUCCUGUCCCUUUUAUGGUCAGACAAGGCCUUGCGAAAUCGCUCAGUACGGCCUUGGACCUGGGAUCUUCCUGCUUCAGCCUCCUGAGUAGGUGGGAUUAUAGGCCUGGACCCCCAUGUCUUUAGCUGACUGAUUCUACAGUUGAAUGCAAAAAUCCACUGUGUCUAAAGGAAUUGGUCCUCCCGUGGAGACAGAAACAAAGCCAACUACAGAUAAGCUUAAGUGAACACGAGUAUUGUUUUCUAAAUAAAGGCUGACUUGUAGACCAA
Molecule: long non-coding RNA, 2638 nt
Organism: Cavia porcellus (domestic guinea pig)
Lineage: Eukaryota; Metazoa; Chordata; Mammalia; Rodentia; Caviidae
Exons: 2
Source: RefSeq, a predicted model, not a curated record